GACCGGCUGGUCUAACGGAAUGACGCUCCACUCUCAAUCGUAAACUUCCGGAGUAGUGUGGGUUCGAAUCCCGCGCUGGUCG
RNAcentral lists this transfer RNA (82 nucleotides) under Auriculariales sp. MPI-PUGE-AT-0066. It matches the Rfam family "tRNA". From Rfam's summary of the family: Transfer RNA (tRNA) molecules are approximately 80 nucleotides in length. The record is from Rfam by way of RNAcentral. Lineage: Eukaryota; Fungi; Basidiomycota; Agaricomycetes; Auriculariales.